GACGAACGCUGGCGGUGUGCCUCAUACAUGCAAGUCGAACGAUAAGGUUCCUUCGGGAAUACAUAAGUGGCGGACGGGUGAGUACAAUGUAGGAAAUCUGCCUUAGGGUGGGGGACAACAGAGGGAAACUCCUGCUAAUACCGCAUAAUGCAUUUAGGGGGCAUCCCCUGAAUGCCAAAGCUUUAUGUGCUGAAAGAUGGUCUCGCGUCUGAUUAGCUAGUUGGUGGGGUAACGGCCCACCAAGGCGACGAUCAGUAGCCGGUCUGAGAGGAUGGACGGCCACAUUGGGACUGAGAUACGGCCCAG
RNAcentral lists this ribosomal RNA (306 nucleotides) under uncultured bacterium. RNAcentral describes it as "bacterial SSU rRNA". It matches the Rfam family "Bacterial small subunit ribosomal RNA", at positions 28 to 334 of the family's 1533-position model. The record is from RNAcentral.